This 424-nucleotide ribosomal RNA is filed under the name uncultured bacterium. Its description in RNAcentral is "bacterial SSU rRNA". It matches the Rfam family "Bacterial small subunit ribosomal RNA", at positions 355 to 796 of the family's 1533-position model. The record is from RNAcentral.
UCGGGAAUUUUGGGCAAUGGGGGAAACCCUGACCCAGCAACGCCGCGUGAAGGAUGAAGUAUUUCGGUAUGUAAACUUCGAAAGAAUGGGAAGAAUCAAUGACGGUACCAUUUAUAAGGUCCGGCUAACUACGUGCCAGCAGCCGCGGUAAUACGUAGGGACCAAGCGUUGUUCGGAUUUACUGGGCGUAAAGGGCGCGUAGGCGGCGUGACAAGUCACUUGUGAAAUCUCUGGGCUUAACCCAGAACGGCCAAGUGAAACUGUCGUGCUAGAGUGCAGAAGGGGCAAUCGGAAUUCUCGGUGUAGCGGUGAAAUGCGUAGAUAUCGAGAGGAACACCAGAGGUGAAGACGGGUUGCUGGGCUGACACUGACGCUGAGGCGCGAAAGCCAGGGGAGCAAACGGGAUUAGAUACCCCCGUAGUCC